RNAcentral lists this ribosomal RNA (247 nucleotides) under uncultured bacterium. RNAcentral describes it as "partial 16S ribosomal RNA". It matches the Rfam family "Bacterial small subunit ribosomal RNA", at positions 523 to 769 of the family's 1533-position model. The record is from RNAcentral.
AUACGUAAGGGGCAAGCGUUAUCCGGAUUUACUGGGUGUAAAGGGUGAGUAGGCGGUUCGGCAAGUCAUAUGUGAAAUUCUGAGGCUUAACCUCAGAGCUGCAUAAGAAACUGUCGGACUUGAGUGCAGGAGAGGCAAGCGGAAUUCCUAGUGUAGCGGUGAAAUGCGUAGAUAUUAGGAAGAACACCGGUGGCGACGGCGGCUUGCUGGACUGUAACUGACGCUGAGUCACGAAAGCGUGGGGAGC